UGUUCUUGGCUUAUAAGUCUUUGUGU
Molecule: microRNA, 26 nt
Filed under: Tribolium castaneum (red flour beetle)
Lineage: Eukaryota; Metazoa; Arthropoda; Insecta; Coleoptera; Tenebrionidae
Description: tca-miR-3846-5p
Source: miRBase by way of RNAcentral